UUGGGAGACAAUAUGAGGAAAUCAUCCCUAUGAAGCAAGCAAAAUUGUCCUUCAAGUUAAUUCCAGCUGUUUUGUGGGGACAGAUUAGAUGAAUUCUGACUACCUUGAUUCAAGCUUGUCAUGGGACCUGACCCUAGGAAGGGGGCCCUGAGCUGUCGAACUUGAUCAUCUGGUCCCGCCGGCCUCGGUGUUGCUCAGGAUGGUCUAAGAUUGCCUCUCGAUCGAGACGAUGAAACCCGCUGAAGAUGGCAGACAAGGACAACUGGCCCUCCGGAGCUGUGCUCCCGGAAGAUUACUUUGACAUCUGUGCGCAAGAGGUGGAGCAAUAAUGGGAACUGGAGAGUCCCCGCAUUGUCCAGACCAUGGC
Molecule: long non-coding RNA, 367 nt
Organism: Miniopterus natalensis
Lineage: Eukaryota; Metazoa; Chordata; Mammalia; Chiroptera; Miniopteridae
Source: RefSeq, a predicted model, not a curated record